GAACUAGAAUUGAAUUAUGGCAGGUGCCAUGUUAUCCAGAACAUUUGAUUUUGUUGAGGCGAUGAUAAAGCACGGACAACGUACACUGUCGAAUCAUUGAUUCACAGCCCAGAAUGUUGCGUUCAAAGCCAAAAGUGAAGCGGAGUGUGCUGCAGUCCUUUGGUGCAGGUGUUGUGUGUAAGUGAGCAGAGACGAGUUAAAGCACCAGCCGGGGCUGGCUGAGGCAGCAGAGGAGAGAGUGUAUAAGACCGCACAAAGAGCUUGAAGGAUUUCUCAGGACACAAAUGAGAGAAGCAGCUGAGCCCGGGGUAGGAUGGAGGGGAUGCAAAGGAUUGAGAGGAGGAGGACGCGGAACGGUGGAGAGAACUGUGCACUAGUGGGCUCCGUUUAGUCCCUAACCCGUACCUCUGGAUGUCUCUGCCCAGACUGGUCCGACCCAAAGUUUACACUAUUGUAAGGCACGGGGUACAUCUGGAGGAUCGGACACGCUUUCUUUGCCAUAAUAGAGUAUGUUCUGUUAAGCAAUGGGCUCUCUAAUGCCUAACUGGAAUUUUCCUUGAAGCUGCUCCAUUUUUUACAUACACAACGUGAUUGAUCUGCUUUGCAUUCUGGAUCAGAGGCUCUAGGAUAAAAAAAAGAAAAAGUAAAGCCUUAAUACGGUCACUUGGCUGAGUUUUGUAUCGCUGCUAAACUAUUUUUAUAGUGGAUUCAUAUGCGUGUUGAAAUCUUCUAUGACCUUUUUUUAAUGGUAACCCAACCAGCGUUUACACUGUUUCCCAAGGUGUGUGGCAUAACAAGAAUGCCAUGUCAUACUGUUGAGCCUGUAUGCAUGCAUGUGUUACUGCCACUGUCGAUGUGUUUGGGGGCAUGCGAGUGUGCUCUUGUUAGUGUAAUGAGUAAAUUGUUUGAAAUGUCCCUACACCAUGUGAGCUCUGGGAUACUUUCAGAGAUGCACAUAACUUCAAGCAAUGCUACUUUUCUGCUCAUGAGGCCAGUUGGAAUCACCUUCUGAGUUUCUCUGCUUGUUGUGAUAUUGACACUAUAGUGCAUCUCUAAUGCAUUCCUGAUUGUAUGAUGGUUGCUGAUUUGUUAGCUCUGUGUUUAUUGCCUAUUCUAUUACUUUAUUGAGUAUAUUGCUGAAAUGUUUUUUUUAAGUUAUUCAAAAGUCAAUAUUUAUUUUGUUGUUUUUGUUGACAUAUGAUUAAUGGUUGAGUCGUUGGGCAAUAUAUGGUAAUUAAUACAGUAGAAUGAGCUCUUCAAGGUUGUUUACAUGAAAUUCAAUUGAAGCUUAACUGAAUCAGAAACCAAAAGUGUACUUUUACCUUCAUACCUGUAUGUUUGGCAACAGAAUUUAACCUCAACAGCAAAUUCCCAAAGAUUGAAUAAGAUGUGAUCUGACUGGAAAGAUGCAUUUUGUGUUUGGAAUACUUGAUGAUUAAAAAUGCGUACUUCAUUA
This is a long non-coding RNA of Gadus morhua (Atlantic cod), 1456 nucleotides long. RefSeq lists it as uncharacterized. The record is from RefSeq and is a predicted model, not a curated record. The transcript has 3 exons. NCBI's taxonomy places the organism in Eukaryota, Metazoa, Chordata, Actinopteri, Gadiformes, Gadidae.